AUCCAAAGAAAACGUGAAUAAAAAAUUGGAUGGAAAAAAGAUUUAGCCCCGUUCUUCUUUGCGUUUUAAAUAGAAUUUUCUAUUUAAAAAGUUCUUUUCUCUUAAAAGAAACGAAGAACGGCCUCUAUUUUUUUUAAAAAUUCACCAUCUAAAACGUUAUUUUCUCCAGAUGGAGAAGCUAAAAAUUUCACCAUAUAAUUAAAGUACUUUUGGCUGAUAAAUGACCAAAUUAACCUGUUUUCUCCCCCUUAUAAAAACGUUCUUUCCUCUGUUGUGAAAGUUCUAUACCCAUUUUUUUCACAUUUUCGCUGUGAAAGCUCUCUCCUGUUCUUUGUUCCUCUUCCGCAGAUGAGUCCUUUUGCACAUUUUGAUAUGUUGCCACCUCCAGAAAUCAUGGAACAAAAGCUUGCUGCACAGCAUGUGGAAAUGCAGAGACUUGGUACAGAAAACCAGAGAACUGCUGCUACCCAUGGGACAUUGAGAUAGGAACUUGCUACUGCACAGCAUGAGUUGCAGAUCUUGCAUGCUCAGAUAGGAGCUAUAACAUCUGAAAGAGAACAACAAAUGAGGAGCCUUAUGGAUAAAAUAGCUAAGAUGGAAGCAGAACUGCAAGCAGCUGAGCCUGUUAAGGUAGAGUUGCAGUAGGCACACUCUGAUGCUCAAAAUUUGGUGUUCUCUUUAUGUUAUAAGCUGGACAUUGUUAUAAUAGAAUGUUCUUUCAAUUUUAAAACUGUAUGAGCAAAAUGAAAUGGACGAGGAUACUGCAAAUGAGUAAUCACUUUGGUAAUAAGUAUUAUUUAAUGAAAUCUUCUACAUAUUCCUUAA
Gossypium raimondii (Peruvian cotton) is the source of this 825-nucleotide long non-coding RNA. RefSeq lists it as uncharacterized. The record is from RefSeq and is a predicted model, not a curated record. The transcript has 2 exons. NCBI's taxonomy places the organism in Eukaryota, Viridiplantae, Streptophyta, Magnoliopsida, Malvales, Malvaceae.